This 254-nucleotide ribosomal RNA is filed under the name uncultured bacterium. Its description in RNAcentral is "partial 16S ribosomal RNA". It matches the Rfam family "Bacterial small subunit ribosomal RNA", at positions 524 to 776 of the family's 1533-position model. The record is from RNAcentral.
UACGGGGGGGGGCAAGCGUUGUUCGGAAUUACUGGGCGUAAAGGGUUUGUAGGUGGCUUGCUAAGUCAGACGUGAAAUCCCUCAGCUUAACUGGGGAACUGCGUCUGAUACUGGCGAGCUUGAGUGCAGGAGAGGAACGCGGAAUUCCAGGUGUAGCGGUGAAAUGCGUAGAUAUCAGGAGGAACACCGGUGGCGAAGGCGGCUUUCUGGACAGAUACCGACGCUGAGGCACGAAAGCUAGGGGAGCAAACAGG